GGGGCUGACAAAGCUUAGACGGAUUGUUAACAGAUAUCAAGCACGACGAUUUGUACCGUAAGUACUGAAAAAGUGAAGAAAAAACUUCCAAGCACGUAGCUUAUCUACCUGCUUAUGCCUAAACUAUUUUAUUAGGCUGGCCGGGGUGUGAGGUUCCAUAGCACCUUUGGUUAUCAGAACUAUGGGAAUCGGGCCGCUACGCGACGAAUAGAGGCCUUAAAUCAGUCAUGACGGAUCUAACAGUCUUUGUCUAUUUACUCUGUAGAUUCAAGUCGAGAAUAAAUUAAACAGACUACGCGUGUAGAAUGAUAUCUUAGUCGGCAGUUCGGACCCGGAGGCAGUAUCCGGCAGCUCCACCA
This 359-nucleotide transfer-messenger RNA is filed under the name Candidatus Saccharimonadota bacterium. It matches the Rfam family "transfer-messenger RNA". From Rfam's summary of the family: Bacterial tmRNA, also known as 10Sa RNA or SsrA, is named for its dual tRNA and mRNA-like properties. Its role is to liberate the mRNA from a stalled ribosome. Lineage: Bacteria; Candidatus Saccharimonadota. The record is from RNAcentral.